AAGGAUCAUUAACACGAAUUUUUAUCCAAUAUCAAAACAUCACGGUCACUUUUCCCCUCCCUACUGAUUUUAAAGCGAUUUGGAAUCUUUAGGCUAACCUUUGUAUUUUGAUUAAUUUCAAAGUACAAACAUUUAAUUUUUAACCACUUUAAUUUAACUCUUUUGUACUUAAUUGUACAAAACUAACUAAUUUACACAGAAUAAAUCUUAACGGAUUCUAUUCUUGUUGUAUUUUCAUUUACGAAAUUACAAUAUCUUAUUAAGAACAACUCUUAACAAUGGAUAUCUUGGUUCUC
This 296-nucleotide unclassified non-coding RNA is filed under the name uncultured fungus. Its description in RNAcentral is "partial contains 5.8S ribosomal RNA, internal transcribed spacer 2, and large subunit ribosomal RNA". The record is from RNAcentral. Lineage: Eukaryota; Fungi.